RNAcentral lists this ribosomal RNA (89 nucleotides) under Vibrio sinensis. RNAcentral describes it as "Vibrio sp. BEI233 partial 16S ribosomal RNA". Lineage: Bacteria; Pseudomonadati; Pseudomonadota; Gammaproteobacteria; Vibrionales; Vibrionaceae. The record is from RNAcentral.
UGGGUAGUUUAACCUUUCGAGGAGGACGCUCACCACUUUGUGGUUCAUGACUGGGGUGAAGUCGUAACAAGGUAGCGCUAGGGGAACCU